GAGGAAUUUUGCGCAAUGGGGGAAACCCUGACGCAGCAACGCCGCGUGGGUGAUGAAGGCCUUCGGGUCGUAAAGCCCUGUCGGGCGGGAAGAACGUCCCUUCGGGGAAUGACGGUACCGCCAGAGGAAGCACCGGCUAACUCCGUGCCAGCAGCCGCGGUAAUACGGAGGGUGCAAGCGUUAUUCGGAAUUACUGGGCGUAAAGGGCGUGCAGGCGGGAGAGCAAGUCUGAUGUGAAAGCCCGGGGCUUAACCCCGGAAGGGCAUUGGAAACUGCUUUUCUUGAGUUCUGGAGAGGAAGGGAGAAUUCCCGGUGUAGAGGUGAAAUUCGUAGAGAUCGGGAGGAACAUCAGUGGCGAAGGCGCCCUUCUGGACAGCAACUGACGCUGAGACGCGAAAGCGUGGGGAGCAAAC
RNAcentral lists this ribosomal RNA (413 nucleotides) under uncultured bacterium. RNAcentral describes it as "bacterial SSU rRNA". It matches the Rfam family "Bacterial small subunit ribosomal RNA", at positions 356 to 773 of the family's 1533-position model. The record is from RNAcentral.